RNAcentral lists this ribosomal RNA (241 nucleotides) under uncultured bacterium. Its description in RNAcentral is "partial 16S ribosomal RNA". It matches the Rfam family "Bacterial small subunit ribosomal RNA", at positions 99 to 334 of the family's 1533-position model. The record is from RNAcentral.
CGAACGGGUGAGUAACACGUGGGUAAUCUGCCCUCGGUUCCGGGAUAGCCCGGGGAAACUCGGAUUAAUACUGGAUAGCCUCACGAACCUUCGGGGGAGUGAGAAAAGGUAGCUUUGGCCUCUGACCGAGGAUGAGCCCGCGGUGGAUUAGCUUGUUGGCGGGGUAACGGCCCACCAAGGCGACGAUCCAUAGCUGGUCUGAGAGGACGAUCAGCCACACUGGGACUGAGACACGGCCCAG